CUGGGUUCAGAACGUCGUGAGACAGUUCGGUCCCUAUCCGUCGCGGGCGCAGGAAAUUUGAGAGGAGCUGUCCUUAGUACGAGAGGACCGGGAUGGACGUUCCGCUGGUGUACCAGUUGUGCCGCCAGGCGCAUCGCUGGGUAGCUAUGAACGGAAGGGAUAAACGCUGAAAGCAUCUAAGUGUGAAGCCCCCCUCGAGAUGAGAUUUCCCAUUCCUAUAUGGAAGUAAGACCCCUGAAAGAUGAUCAGGUAGAUAGGCUGGAAGUGGAAGUGCAGCGAUGCAUGGAGCGGACCAGUACUAAUCGGUCGAGGACUUAACCAA
RNAcentral lists this ribosomal RNA (322 nucleotides) under Lacticaseibacillus rhamnosus. RNAcentral describes it as "partial 23S ribosomal RNA". It matches the Rfam family "Bacterial large subunit ribosomal RNA", at positions 2605 to 2925 of the family's 2925-position model. The record is from RNAcentral. Lineage: Bacteria; Bacillati; Bacillota; Bacilli; Lactobacillales; Lactobacillaceae.